Cyprinus carpio carpio is the source of this 498-nucleotide long non-coding RNA. NCBI's taxonomy places the organism in Eukaryota, Metazoa, Chordata, Actinopteri, Cypriniformes, Cyprinidae. The record is from Ensembl.
ACAACAUGUGCAGACUGAUUUAAAUAUAAAUAAUGCAGAUGACAGCUCAGUUACAGACUCAUAAUGUCACUUAACAGCACACACUUCAGCCCAUAAACAAACAAAACAGACAAACGCUGUGAUAAGAUGCAGAACUGGAAGAUGUCACGCGACUCACCUAAUAAGGGAUGUUUGAAGUGUUACACUCAGCCAACAGAAGCAUGUGGACAGACAUUGACUGUAAUGAAGGACAUCUGCUGAUGCACAGGCAGAAGUAUAACCCCUGCUGGACAUUGUGCUGGAGCUCAGGGAGGACACCACGAUCCCCCACACCUUCUCACUCACACCAGACCAUUCACUCAUAUCACAGAGAUCUGGCUGGACUUGAACCAGCAACCUCUGAAACCAUGAGGCAGCGCUUUUACCUCUGAGCCACAGUUCUCUUGUCUGAACAUGUGCAGGAACUUAUAUUUUACUAUUCUCCCUGUCAUUUUACAAUAAACCCAAAACAUUUUGAAC